This is a non-coding RNA of Schistosoma mansoni, 48 nucleotides long. The record is from Rfam. NCBI's taxonomy places the organism in Eukaryota, Metazoa, Platyhelminthes, Trematoda, Strigeidida, Schistosomatidae.
AUCCAGCUGAUGAGUUCCAAAUAGGACGAAACGCGCGUCAAACUGGAU